UGUUUCCCUCUCUUCUUGAAGCGCCGCACGAAGACGACGAAGCCGCUGCAGAGGACGAGGCCUGCGAGCAACAAGAUGGAGAAGAAGAGACAGAGGAGGGAGAAGAGGAGGAGGCCAAACCCAAGUUCAAG
Molecule: long non-coding RNA, 131 nt
Organism: Thalassophryne amazonica
Lineage: Eukaryota; Metazoa; Chordata; Actinopteri; Batrachoidiformes; Batrachoididae
Exons: 3
Source: RefSeq, a predicted model, not a curated record